GCGUUUGUGGUUUAGUGGUAAAAUUGAUCGUUGCCAUGACUUCAAGUCACAGCCUCGAUCAGCCCCGGGUUCGAUUCCCGGCGGACGCA
Non-coding RNA from Orbilia javanica, 89 nucleotides. Lineage: Eukaryota; Fungi; Ascomycota; Orbiliomycetes; Orbiliales; Orbiliaceae. The record is from the annotation of a GenBank genome assembly.